Molecule: long non-coding RNA, 737 nt
Organism: Cynoglossus semilaevis (tongue sole)
Lineage: Eukaryota; Metazoa; Chordata; Actinopteri; Pleuronectiformes; Cynoglossidae
Exons: 5
Source: RefSeq, a predicted model, not a curated record
AUUAGCAGAGCAACUGAGGCUCCAUUCCCAGCUGUUGUCAGUCCUUGGACCUCUGACUUCUGCGAUCACAUGGACACACAAGGGAAGGUGUGAAGCACCUUGACCCUCUCAAGUCAGAAAUCUGAACCAACUGAAACCUUCAGAACGCUAUUGUUAGAAUACUUGAUGUUAACUGAAGGUUACUUGAGGAGGUGCUAAGUGUCAGACCCAGCCCCCAUGUGCUUUCUUGUCUUGCAAUUUCUCCUGGGGUUCAUUCAGACAACGGAUAAGUUGCUGUAGGUUCAUUUACAAUCAGCAUAAGGAAACGCUGUUACAUUUGAGUUUUUCUGUCGAUGAAGAGAAACAACAAGUCAAGGGUCACAUUGUGGAACAACCUCAGAUUCCCGUUAGCCCAAGAAAAGCUUUGUCACUUAAGGCCCUGACCAGGAUAGAACCAAGGAUUAGAAAGGUCACCUUUGGAUGUUGAACCUUGAACGGACCGGGAGAUUCCAAGAUGCUGUCAGACAUCUAUCCCAGAUUUGGGAGCAAACGCUGUCUCCUCUUCUUCGGCUCUGAAGAGAAAACUUAAGACUGUGAAAAGAUUGGAUGAAAUACAGAUAAAGAGGUACCUCUGUUUGAAGUCUCCGUAGAGGAUCCUGUUGGGGAAACCUUUUCUGCAGAUCCUGAUUCCUUCCAGCACACCGUUACAGCGCAGCUGGUGCAUCACCAGAGGAUUCUCCAUGGCCCCAGGAGUCUUG